GUGAAUCUCUACAUCUUAAGAACUGAUGGAUAAGUGCUCCCCUUUUUCUUCUCUUGACAGCCUCUUAUCCUCAGAACAUCACAAGGAAUUUGUUACCCAGGAGUCCAAACAACUUCUCCCGGAAGGAUGCAUGACAACAGGAUAUGGAGAGGGCAGUGCACCCCAAGCUCCUGCAUGCGUGCAAAUGUAGCCUCUGGAGCCAGGAAGGAGGGGCAGGAGAACAAUCGUUGCUCAACCCACUUCAUGGAAUACCUCAAGUGACUGGCGGUCAUCGCACUGGAUUCACCUCUUAAAGGCAGCUGAUCAGAAACUUUACAUCUGCACGUGUCCUUCACUUGCCAUGUAGCAGCAUAAUCACAAAGCAUGAACAUCAACAACAUUUUGAAAUAUUGCUUACCACAUCUA
This is a long non-coding RNA of Fukomys damarensis (Damara mole-rat), 405 nucleotides long. RefSeq lists it as uncharacterized. The record is from RefSeq and is a predicted model, not a curated record. The transcript is spliced from 4 exons. Lineage: Eukaryota; Metazoa; Chordata; Mammalia; Rodentia; Bathyergidae.